RNAcentral lists this ribosomal RNA (292 nucleotides) under uncultured Pseudomonas sp. Its description in RNAcentral is "partial 16S ribosomal RNA". It matches the Rfam family "Bacterial small subunit ribosomal RNA", at positions 505 to 796 of the family's 1533-position model. Lineage: Bacteria; Pseudomonadati; Pseudomonadota; Gammaproteobacteria; Pseudomonadales; Pseudomonadaceae. The record is from RNAcentral.
GUGUCAGCAGCCGCGGUAAUACAGAGGGUGCAAGCGUUAAUCGGAAUUACUGGGCGUAAAGCGCGCGUAGGUGGUUCGUUAAGUUGGAUGUGAAAUCCCCGGGCUCAACCUGGGAACUGCAUCCAAAACUGGCGAGCUAGAGUAGGGCAGAGGGUGGUGGAAUUUCCUGUGUAGCGGUGAAAUGCGUAGAUAUAGGAAGGAACACCAGUGGCGAAGGCGACCACCUGGGCUCAUACUGACACUGAGGUGCGAAAGCGUGGGGAGCAAACAGGAUUAGAAACCCUAGUAGUCC